Molecule: ribosomal RNA, 515 nt
Filed under: uncultured bacterium
Lineage: Bacteria
Description: partial 16S ribosomal RNA
Rfam family: Bacterial small subunit ribosomal RNA
Source: RNAcentral
GAUGAACGCUGGCGGCGUGCCUAAUACAUGCAAGUCGAGCGAAUGGAUUAAGAGCUUGCUCUUAUGAAGUUAGCGGCGGACGGGUGAGUAACACGUGGGUAACCUGCCCAUAAGACUGGGAUAACUCCGGGAAACCGGGGCUAAUACCGGAUAACAUUUUGAACCGCAUGGUUCGAAAUUGAAAGGCGGCUUCGGCUGUCACUUAUGGAUGGACCCGCGUCGCAUUAGCUAGUUGGGGAGGUAACGGCUCACCAAGGCAACGAUGCGUAGCCGACCGGAGAGGGUGAUCGGCAACACUGGGACUGAGACACGGCCCAGACUCCUCCGGGAGGCAGCAGUAGGGAAUCUUCCGCAAUGGACGAAAGUCUGACGGAGCAACGCCGCGUGAGUGAUGAAGGCUUUCGGGUCGUAAAACUCUGUUGUUAGGGAAGAACAAGUGCUAGUUGAAUAAGCUGGCACCUUGACGGUACCUAACCAGAAAGCCACGGCUAACUACGUGCCAGCAGCCGCCGUAA